This 393-nucleotide ribosomal RNA is filed under the name uncultured bacterium. Its description in RNAcentral is "partial 16S ribosomal RNA". It matches the Rfam family "Bacterial small subunit ribosomal RNA", at positions 523 to 918 of the family's 1533-position model. The record is from RNAcentral.
AUACGGAAGGUCCGGGCGUUAUCCGGAUUUAUUGGGUUUAAAGGGAGCGCAGGCGGAGAUGCAAGCGUGACGUCAAAUUUCUGGGCUCAACCCCGUCUCGCGUCGCGAACUGCGUCCCUUGGUUGCGGGAAGGGGAGGCGGAACUCGUGGGGUAGCGGUGAAAUGCAUAGAUAUCACGAAGAACUCCGAUCGCGAAGGCAGCCUUCCGGCCCGUCAACGACGCUCAUGCUCGAAGGUGCGGGUAUCAAACAGGAUUAGAUACCCUGGUAGUCCGCACAGUAAACGAUGGACACCCGCGGUUUGGCCUGUAUGGCUGAGCCGCCAAGCGAAAGCGUUAAGUGUCCCACCUGGGGAGUACGCCGGCAACGGUGAAACUCAAAGGAAUUGACGGGG